CCCUUAGAUGUUCUGGGCCGCACGCGCGCUACACUGACGAAUGCAACGAGCUUAUAACCUUGGCCGAAAGGUCUGGGUAAUCUCCAAAUUUCGUCGUGAUGGGGAUAGAUUAUUGCAAUUAUUAAUCUUCAACGAGGAAUGCCUAGUAAGCGCAAGUCAUCAGCUUGCGUUGAUUACGUCCCUGCCCUUUGUACACACCGCCCGUCGCUCCUACCGAUUGAAUGGUCCGGUGAAGCGUUCGGACCGUGGCCUUUGGACGGUUCGCCGUCUGUUGGCUGCGGGAAGUUCGUUAAACCUUAUCAUUUAGAGGAAGGAGAAGUCGUANCA
RNAcentral lists this ribosomal RNA (327 nucleotides) under uncultured eukaryote. Its description in RNAcentral is "partial 18S ribosomal RNA". It matches the Rfam family "Eukaryotic small subunit ribosomal RNA", at positions 1470 to 1796 of the family's 1831-position model. The record is from RNAcentral.